RNAcentral lists this ribosomal RNA (99 nucleotides) under uncultured bacterium. RNAcentral describes it as "partial 16S ribosomal RNA". It matches the Rfam family "Bacterial small subunit ribosomal RNA", at positions 392 to 508 of the family's 1533-position model. The record is from RNAcentral.
CAACGCCGCGUGUGGGAUGAAGGUCUUCGGAUUGUAAACCACUGUCGGAGGGGACGAUAAUGACGGUACCCUCCAAGAAAGCCCCGGCUAACUACGUGC